AAGAAACCAACAGGGAUUGCCCUAGUAACGGCGAGUGAAGCGGCAACAGCUCAAAUUUGAAAUCUGGCGCAAGCCCGAGUUGUAAUUUGUAGAGGAUGCUUCUGGGUAGCGGCCGGUCUAAGUUCCUUGGAACAGGACGUCACAGAGGGUGAGAAUCCCGUAUGUGAUCGGCGCGCGCCCUCUACGUAGCUCCUUCGACGAGUCGAGUUGUUUGGGAAUGCAGCUCUAAAUGGGAGGUAAAUUUCUUCUAAAGCUAAAUACUGGCCAGAGACCGAUAGCGCACAAGUAGAGUGAUCGAAAGAUGAAAAGCACUUUGGAAAGAGAGUUAAAAAGCACGUGAAAUUGUUGAAAGGGAAGCGCUUGCAACCAGACUUGUCGGCGGUGUUCCCCCGGUCUUCUGACCGGGCUACUCACCGCCAGCAGGCCAUCAUCGUCUGGGGCCGCCGGAGAAAUCGUCAGGAAUGUGGCUCCCUCGGGAGUGUUAUAGCCUGGCGCCAUGCGGCGCGCCCCGGGCGAGGUCCGCGCACUGCAAGGAUGAUGGCGUAAUGGUUGUCAGCGGCCCGUCUUGAAACACGGACCAAGGAGUCUAACAUCUAUGCGAGUGUUCGGGUGUCAAACCCCUACGCGUAAUGAAAGUGAACGGAGGUGGGAGCUUCGGCGCACCAUCGACCGAUCCUGAUGUCCUCGGAUGGAUUUGAGUAAGAGCAUAGCUGUUGGGACCCGAAAGAUGGUGAACUAUGCCUGAAUAGGGUGAAGCCAGAGGAAACUCUGGUGGAGGCUCGCAGCGGUUCUGACGUGCAAAUCGAUCGUCAAAUUUGGGUAUAGGGGCGAAAGACUAAUCGAACCAU
This 848-nucleotide ribosomal RNA is filed under the name Globoramichloridium indicum. RNAcentral's name for it is "partial 28S large subunit ribosomal RNA". It matches the Rfam family "Eukaryotic large subunit ribosomal RNA", at positions 59 to 943 of the family's 3401-position model. The record is from RNAcentral. Lineage: Eukaryota; Fungi; Ascomycota; Dothideomycetes; Mycosphaerellales; Dissoconiaceae.